Molecule: ribosomal RNA, 1428 nt
Filed under: uncultured organism
Description: SSU rRNA
Rfam family: Bacterial small subunit ribosomal RNA
Source: RNAcentral
CUUAACACAUGCAAGUCGAGGGGCAGCACAGGUAGCAAUACCGGGUGGCGACCGGCGCACGGGUGAGUAACGCGUAUGCAACUUACCUAUCAGAGGGGGAUAACCCGGCGAAAGUCGGACUAAUACCGCAUGAAGCAGGGGCCCCGCAUGGGGAUAUUUGCUAAAGAUUCAUCGCUGAUAGAUAGGCAUGCGUUCCAUUAGGCAGUUGGCGGGGUAACGGCCCACCAAACCGACGAUGGAUAGGGGUUCUGAGAGGAAGGUCCCCCACAUUGGUACUGAGACACGGACCAAACUCCUACGGGAGGCAGCAGUGAGGAAUAUUGGUCAAUGGCCGAGAGGCUGAACCAGCCAAGUCGCGUGAGGGAUGAAGGUUCUAUGGAUCGUAAACCUCUUUUAUAAGGGAAUAAAGUGCGGGACGUGUCCCGUUUUGUAUGUACCUUAUGAAUAAGGAUCGGCUAACUCCGUGCCAGCAGCCGCGGUAAUACGGAGGAUCCGAGCGUUAUCCGGAUUUAUUGGGUUUAAAGGGUGCGUAGGCGGCCUUUUAAGUCAGCGGUGAAAGUCUGUGGCUCAACCAUAGAAUUGCCGUUGAAACUGGGGGGCUUGAGUAUGUUUGAGGCAGGCGGAAUGCGUGGUGUAGCGGUGAAAUGCAUAGAUAUCACGCAGAACCCCGAUUGCGAAGGCAGCCUGCCAAGCCAUGACUGACGCUGAUGCACGAAAGCGUGGGGAUCAAACAGGAUUAGAUACCCUGGUAGUCCACGCAGUAAACGAUGAUCACUAGCUGUUUGCGAUACACUGUAAGCGGCACAGCGAAAGCGUUAAGUGAUCCACCUGGGGAGUACGCCGGCAACGGUGAAACUCAAAGGAAUUGACGGGGGCCCGCACAAGCGGAGGAACAUGUGGUUUAAUUCGAUGAUACGCGAGGAACCUUACCCGGGUUUGAACGCAUUCGGACCGAGGUGGAAACACCUUUUCUAGCAAUAGCCGUUUGCGAGGUGCUGCAUGGUUGUCGUCAGCUCGUGCCGUGAGGUGUCGGCUUAAGUGCCAUAACGAGCGCAACCCUUGCCACUAGUUACUAACAGGUGAUGCUGAGGACUCUGGUGGGACUGCCAGCGUAAGCUGCGAGGAAGGCGGGGAUGACGUCAAAUCAGCACGGCCCUUACAUCCGGGGCGACACACGUGUUACAAUGGCGUGGACAAAGGGAGGCCACCUGGCGACAGGGAGCGAAUCCCCAAACCACGUCUCAGUUCGGAUCGGAGUCUGCAACCCGACUCCGUGAAGCUGGAUUCGCUAGUAAUCGCGCAUCAGCCAUGGCGCGGUGAAUACGUUCCCGGGCCUUGUACACACCGCCCGUCAAGCCAUGGGAGCCGGGGGUACCUGAAGUCCGUAACCGCGAGGAUCGGCCUAGGGUAAAACUGGUGACUGGGGCU